Formica exsecta is the source of this 662-nucleotide long non-coding RNA. RefSeq lists it as uncharacterized. The record is from RefSeq and is a predicted model, not a curated record. The transcript is spliced from 5 exons. NCBI's taxonomy places the organism in Eukaryota, Metazoa, Arthropoda, Insecta, Hymenoptera, Formicidae.
UAAGAAAAUAUAUUUGGUUCUAUCGAGAUAAAGCGAAAUCAAUCUUUUCGAGAAGACCGGUAUACUUUUAUAGCUGGGAUUUCUUCAGCUGGAAUUGCAUACAAUCUUAUACCGUAUGCAAUGCUAGCUGAAGAGCUUUGCUAAACAGCGUAACAUAUUGGAUUAUAGAGAUUUGGCAGUAACAGACAAUAGAGGAAAGCGAGAAAUACAAAGAUGGAAAUGUACGAUUGGUUAGUAGUAAAGAAGUAAAGGAGAGCCUGUCCAUUUCUAACGAGAAGAAAACAGCGAAAGAUUUGAAGAACAGUUUGUCGAAGAAAAUGAAAAUGAUUAUCAAACUGCAACGCUGAAUUGAGAGGUAGCCUCAAAGUACAAGUACAUUACUACGAAGAUGGAAAUGUACAAUUGGCGAGUAGCUGCAUUUAGUAUUAUCGAUAGAGGGAAGCAAGAAAUACAAAGAUGGAAAUGUACAAUUGGUCAGUAGUAAAGAAGUAAAGGAGAGCCUGUCCAUUUCUAACGAGAAGAAAACAGCGAAAGAUUUGAAGAACAGUUUGUCGAAGAAAAUGAAAAUAAUUAUCAAACUGCAACGCUGUAUUGAGAGGUAGCCUCAAAGUACAAGUACAUUACUACAAUGAUGGAAAUGUACAAUUGAUACAGGGAAGCGA